GUGAAACCGGUGAGGUGGAAACGGAUAGAGUCGGCGUAUCUUGCAAGUAUUCAUUUACAUUUUUAUCGUAUUGUAAUUUCUGAGCUCCAGAUUGGGACAGUUUUUACUUUAUUAURAAAUUGWGAUGCAUUUGCUUGUUUGGUGCGUAGGGAUGUUUGAGAUAGAUUUGUGACCGCCGUUUUGAGGCCAGCUUGCUGGUACCCAAACGGUGUUAGCAUUUUUUAUCUUGGAUAUUURAGUAUGGCUUACGGGCGUUUAUUGGUUCGAACUGAGUGUAAGUUACGGUCGCAUGCGACACGUGCUUUUCAAUUAGUUCGGUCCAGUUAAUGCUCUCAUACUCUUUCCCUAUGUAAAAGCCGGUCAUCUAUCCGACCCGUCUUGAAACACGGACCAAGGAGUUUAUCGUGUNCGCAAGUUUUUGGGUGUUUAAAACCUAAAAGCGCAAUGAAAGUAAAUGUUCUCUUUCGAGACUGAUGUGCGAUAUUUUUUUUCGAAAAAAUUGCAGCAUGGCCCCAUUCUAUCUGUUUACAGAAGGGUGGCGGAAGA
RNAcentral lists this ribosomal RNA (546 nucleotides) under Meloidogyne marylandi. RNAcentral describes it as "partial 28S ribosomal RNA". It matches the Rfam family "Eukaryotic large subunit ribosomal RNA", at positions 399 to 799 of the family's 3401-position model. The record is from RNAcentral. Lineage: Eukaryota; Metazoa; Nematoda; Chromadorea; Rhabditida; Meloidogynidae.